GCGGGGGGCCCCGCCGGGGCCCGGGGGCCGCUCCCGGCGCUCCCCCCCGGCCCGCGGGGCCGCCCCCGGCCCGGUCGCCCCGCGACCCCUUGGCUGCUGCCGCUGCUGCUGCUGAGUUGUAUCAACUCCCCCAGAGCCGCCUGCAGGACGCCUUCCGCAAAGCCGGAAGCCAGCGCGCCCCGUCGUUCUGAACUGAAGUCUGUGACGCGACUUGCCCCCAGUAUGGCAUAUUGUCAUUGUCACCCCGGCCCGGCCAGCGCCCCCCGGCCCGGCCGCCCCUGCCCUGCCGCCCCCCCUUCGGGGCCGCUCGUGCUAAUUUAACUCGUAACGAGUCUCUAAGGUAAUUGGGGGGGGGCUGGUGGCCCCCCCCGCCCCCAGCCCGGACGCCUGGGGACGUCCCCGUGUCCCCAGCAGUGUCCCCAGCAAUGUCCCUUUGUCCCUCUGUCCCUUUGUCACCUGCCCCCCCACCUCGGGCUCUGCAUUUUUGGCAGAGCCCCCUCCCCAAAACUGUGUCCCCCUCGCCCCCCCCAUCCCCUCGUGGGUGUCACCCUCAAUGUCCCCAAGGCGGGGGACCGAGGCACGAUGUGGCUUGAUGUCCCCAAAGUCCCCAAUUAUUUCCCCAGUUAUGUCCCCAGUAAUGUCCCCAAUUAUAUCCACAAUAAUGACCCCAAGAAUGUCCCCAGUUUCCCCAAUAAUGUUCCCAAGAAUGUCUCCAGUAGUGUCCCCAAUUUCCCCAAUUAUGUCCCCAAUAAUGUCCCCAAAAUGUCCCAAAUAUCCCCAAUAAUAUCCCCACUGAUGUCCCCACUGAUGUCCCCACUGUCCCUGAUGUCCCCGAGCCCUGGGGCUGAGGCACAAUGUGCCUCAGUGUCCCCAACACCCUCCAAGGGACAUCCUGGCCUGAUGUCCCCAAAGCCCCUGAUGUCCCCAACGUCCCCAAUGUCCCCAGAUGUGUCCCCAGUGUCCCCAACCCCUCGGACUGAGCCUGUUCAGCGUCCCCAGUGCUGCCGAUGUCCCCAAAGGAGGAGGACGCCGUCACCGCGCUCAUGGGACUGAGUCCCCAGUGUGUCCCCAAUGCGUCCCCAAUGUCCCCAACGCGUCCCCAACGCGUCCCCAAUGUCCCCAAACAUGUCCCCAAUGUCUCCCCUGGCAAUAAAAGUGUCCCCCAAUGGC
Molecule: long non-coding RNA, 1170 nt
Organism: Zonotrichia leucophrys gambelii
Lineage: Eukaryota; Metazoa; Chordata; Aves; Passeriformes; Passerellidae
Exons: 2
Source: RefSeq, a predicted model, not a curated record